AAGACGCUAGUAUAAUAUACACUGCCUUGUCAAGGCAGAGUUGUGGGUUAGAUCCCCGCGUGUCUUA
Molecule: transfer RNA, 67 nt
Filed under: Trimma caesiura (Caesiura dwarfgoby)
Lineage: Eukaryota; Metazoa; Chordata; Actinopteri; Gobiiformes; Gobiidae
Description: tRNA-Asp
Rfam family: tRNA
About the family: Transfer RNA (tRNA) molecules are approximately 80 nucleotides in length. Their secondary structure includes four short double-helical elements and three loops (D, anti-codon, and T loops).
Source: RNAcentral